Molecule: long non-coding RNA, 449 nt
Filed under: Cyanistes caeruleus (blue tit)
Lineage: Eukaryota; Metazoa; Chordata; Aves; Passeriformes; Paridae
Description: lncRNA (ENSCCEG00000002345.1)
Source: RNAcentral
CUGUUUCACUGCAGGUGGAACACCAACCUGUACCUCAUUUUAACUUAUGUAUGUCAGGCCUGCCUCUGUGCCUCCUCACUGCAGCUACCCUGAUUAUUGACAGAUUAUAGAAGUUUGAGAUCUGGAAGUCUCUUGGUUGUAUUGAUUUUUGCAUGAAAUUGGAAUGCAAAUUCAAUGUCUUUCUGGUCCAAACAUGAGAAGUCGUGAUUCUACUUAACUGAAAAAGGAACCAUAUUUGGCAGCAUAUAGGAAAGAUAAUGUAUUCCAGGUGGGGUCAUGGAGCAGAUGCAAACAUCAUUCAUGCUUAAGUCUUGAACUUUUCUUAGGAAGCAAUACAUUGUACAAGUUUAGACUUUUAAUACCUCAAAAGAGACCAAAAUAAAUUAUUUUUUGUUAAUUGAAAAUAUUUAUAGAAAUUUUCAUGUGAACAUAUGUGAGCCUAUAGCUUU